Molecule: non-coding RNA, 154 nt
Organism: Podarcis muralis (Common wall lizard)
Lineage: Eukaryota; Metazoa; Chordata; Lepidosauria; Squamata; Lacertidae
Source: RefSeq, a predicted model, not a curated record
AAACUGGGGUGACUCAUUCGCCCACCAGCCCCUCACUCGGCAGCUGGAGCGGCGGCAGAGCAGAGGCACCCAGGCGCUUGGCAGCGCUUGAGAGCUGGGCUACAGCCUCGAAGAAAACGGAGUUGACGCCUCUUGAAAUCUGCCCCCCCCCCCC